This 376-nucleotide ribosomal RNA is filed under the name uncultured bacterium. RNAcentral's name for it is "bacterial SSU rRNA". It matches the Rfam family "Bacterial small subunit ribosomal RNA", at positions 29 to 424 of the family's 1533-position model. The record is from RNAcentral.
AACGAACGCUGGCGGCAUGCCUAACACAUGCAAGUCGAACGGGAUCCUAGCUUGCUAGGUGAGAGUGGCGGACGGGUGAGUAACACGUGGGAAUCUGCCUUUUUGGUUCGGGAUAACCGCGGGAAACUGCGGCUAAUACCGAAUGCCCUCGAGAGAGGAAAGAUUUAUCGCCAGAAGAGGAGCCCGCGUCCGAUUAGGUAGUUGGUGGGGUAAAGCCUACCAAGCCGACGAUCGGUAGCUGGUCUGAGAGGAUGAUCAGCCACACUGGGACUGAGAUACGGCCCAGACUCCUACGGGAGGCAGCAGUGGGGAAUAUUGGACAAUGGGGGCAACCCUGAUCCAGCAAUGCCGCGUGAGUGAUGAAGGCCUUAGGGUU